Long non-coding RNA from Bos taurus (domestic cattle), 586 nucleotides. NCBI's taxonomy places the organism in Eukaryota, Metazoa, Chordata, Mammalia, Artiodactyla, Bovidae. The record is from Ensembl.
ACAACAGGUCCUUGUAGGAGCGCGCCGUGCCACGCGGCGCCGGGGAUGGGUCUGCACUCGGACAUGAGCCCGCUUGUUCCCCGCUCGCCGUGAAAAGAGUUUUGAAAUGAGUUCUGAAUAGACAGCAUUUUCUUUGUGCGAGUGGUAAAUAACCCAGAGCGGAGUUACCGAGUUGCAGCUUCUGCAUUCUGAAACUCCAUGGAACUUUUUUGUGGGGAGAAAGGCAGGAUGUUUUUUACAGAAUGUGACCUCCCCGGAACACUGGAGAAAGCGAUAGCAUCUCUGAAUGGGGCCGUGUGGAGAAACCCUAAGAGAAACAGCAUAAGAGCAUUUUGGAAUAUAUCCCGCAAAAGAUAACUUUCUACACAUCUGGCAGAGAUUCUCCAGGUAAAGGCCUCCAUUUGCUAUUGUCAUCCUUGUGCUGGGGAACUGAAGGAUCCACAAGAGGCACCAGAAUUUUGAAUUCUAAGCAGCUGGUGAACAUUUUUGGGUUGUAACAUUUCUCCAAAUUUUGUUGUUAUUCACGAAUUCUCCAUUUGUUUGUGAAUUUUGUUCUCUGUCAAAACAUUGAAGACUAUUUUCCAUC